AUGAAACGGUGAUGUGAACCCGGCCUCAUUAAUGUCCUCUAAACUAAAUGGUGUGUGUGUGUGUGGGGGGGGGGAGAGUUUGGGACCAAAAUGGACAAUUAAAGGGGUAGGUUGCUGGUCCCACCUCUGGGACCCCAAAGUUGAAGGAGAGCCCCGGCAUAUCCACUUUAUAAAAGGGCUUCUGUACUGGGGAUAAUCCCCCACCCAAAGACCUCGAUGUUGCCCCAAAAGAGGUUGUCGGGAUAGGAGCCCUCCUUUAAUUGGUUCUCCAAUCAGGAGAUCAGCCAGUGAUUACUCGGACGAUGGUAUCCGCAGGAGCGCAGUCAUGGAGAAACAGUCAGCAAGUUUUUAACAGGAUCUGAGCUGCCAGAGCAAUUCUGUCCACCCAGAGCGGCUCCUGCCUCGCUGCACCGCACCCACCUCCGGCCUUAUGUCACGUAUGUAGUAACAAGCCAGCGCCCGGCUAAUGCCCUGCCCUAGGGUGCGGGUGGUGGCCACUUCCUCAGUCAGAAUGAUGUAGCAGAUCUGGCCGUUCCCUCCUGAUGACUUGGCGUCAGGAGGACAUUUCCUUCCUCAUAUAGUCCCGCAGCCUCUAUAUAUAGUCAGGGUCCAGCUGCUGAAGUCCUAGGUCAGUGGAAAUCGAGUCCUCAAGGAUCUCCAAAAGGUCACAGAACAGGACCGCACUGCCCCCUCCCCCACGUCCUCCCUGGGUCACACCUCGUCAGAAUACGGCUCUGUGCACACUGCGUAUGGUGUACACCCGGGACAACCUCCCAGUGUACACGUCAAAUGUAUGCAUAGGAGCAUCUUUUUGGCCUCUAUUGAGCCCCAAAAGCACACCAGACCCUGCUAUUCUAUACAGUGAGCCGCGGCAAGAAAACAUACCAUGCGGUAAUCUUUUUUUAGGGAAGGGGGGGGGGGGGGGAGUUUGGAGACCCCCCUCCUGGGCAGACCUGCGAAGGGAAGCAUACUUACCCGCUUCCUGACGCUGCGCUCUCCGGCCUCUGUCCUGGAUUGGAUAUAAACUUCCGGUUUGAUGUCACUGCAGCCAAUUGCUGGCGACCUGCUCCCCUUGCAUUUGUCAUGAGGCAAUGGAAGCAGGUCACCUCUGCAGCCAGCGAUUGGCUGCAGCUGCGUCCAAAUGGAAGCUUACAUCCAGGGACCCGAGCGGAGCAUUGGGAAGCAGGUAAGUAUGCGUCCCUUCCCAGGUCUGCCUUCCCCCCCCCCCCCCGAACGGGCACAACCCCUUUAAUUUUGUGGCCAAAACACGUGGCACAGUAUGGCCGCCAGACACCUAACACAGUGCCCAAUUGGGGCUGGAAUCGGCCACUCCGGCUAAGGGCAGCCUGAAAAUAGGACGCGAUCGGUCGUUGGCGACGGUCUUCAGAUAUCUGCGGUGAUCGGCCAUGUUGGAGUAUAAGGUCUAUCCAGUGGCUGAAACGCGACGGGUUUGACCGUUCCUUAAUUUGUGCUUCAUCUUCUUUCUCCUAAGGGUUAAUUUACACUGCGGAAUCUGUGCCAAAACUGUAUUCUGCUGCAAAAAAUAAAAAUAUAAAUGUGUUUCUCUUCCGGCCACGGAGACCUUUGGCAUGUGAACUAGCCCUAAACCUGAUGACUGGAUGGCUGCUCAGUCCGUCAACAUCUGAGGGCUAUUGCCACACGUACUGGUUACUGCCGUAAAACGCUGCAUUUUGAUGCAAUUCCAAACGCAAAAAUGGCGGCUACGUGGGUAUAGAUCCUACGCCCAACUAUACAGGCGAAAAUAAAUCCAGCACAAACUAAGACUGGAUCCUUGGUGUAAAGUAGAAGUGACCUAGUUGCCCAUAGCAACCAAUCAGAUCCCACCUUUCAUUUCUCAGCGCUCCUUUGGGAAAUGGAAGCUUGAAUCUGAUUGGUUGCUAUGGGCAACUAAACCAGUUCCUCUUUUCACCAGGAAAAGAUAAAUCUAACCCAGAUAAAUCCAACAUGGCCGACCAUCCUUUCGGCAGAUAUCGCUCCGACAAUCCACUACAGCCAAGGACACGGUGACGGAUCCGUAUCCAGGGUGCGGUCAGAAUGAAAAACACCUACUUUGCACCCUGGUUCUGGAUCUGGAUGAGAUCUUGAUUUAUCCCAGUCAGGAUUUCAGAAGAAGCCUGUGGAGGCAGUGGACAACAGAGAAGCAUUAAAAAGUGACAAAGAGGGCAGCCCCACACUUCAAGGAGAAGAUCUCAUCAUAAAAAUUUGAAUAUGUGACAAAAUAUGUGGAUAUGUAGUGAUACCAGUGACUGAAUAAAGACGAAAGAGGAAAUAAGUGUGA
This is a long non-coding RNA of Bufo gargarizans (Asiatic toad), 2299 nucleotides long. RefSeq lists it as uncharacterized. The record is from RefSeq and is a predicted model, not a curated record. The transcript is spliced from 2 exons. NCBI's taxonomy places the organism in Eukaryota, Metazoa, Chordata, Amphibia, Anura, Bufonidae.